This 906-nucleotide ribosomal RNA is filed under the name uncultured archaeon. RNAcentral's name for it is "bacterial SSU rRNA". It matches the Rfam family "Archaeal small subunit ribosomal RNA", at positions 21 to 903 of the family's 1478-position model. The record is from RNAcentral.
CCCUACUGCUAUCGGGGUGGGACUAAGACAUGCGAGUUGAGCGUCUCUAAGCCAUGGUAGAGACGCAGCGUACGGCUCAGUAACACGUGGCUAGCCUACCCUUAGGACGGGGACAACCCCGGGAAACUGGGACUAAUACCCGAUAGGUGAGGAGGCCUGGAAUGGUUCUUAGUCGAAAAGGCGUUGAAACCAUGCUUUUCGACGUCGCCUAAGGAUGGGGCCGCGUCCGAUCAGGUUGUUGGUGGGGUAACGGCUCACCAAGCCUUUAACCGGUACGGGCCGUGAGAGCGGGAGCCCGGAGAUGGGCACUGAGACAAGGGCCCAGGCCCUACGGGGCGCAGCAGUCGCGAAAACUCCGCAAUGCGCGAAAGCGUGACGGGGCUACCCCGAGUGCCGUCCGCUGAGGAUGGCUUUUCCCCGGUGUAAUGAGCCGGGGGAAUAAGGAGAGGGCAAGACUGGUGUCAGCCGCCGCGGUAAUACCAGCUCUCCGAGUGGUAGGGAUGAUUAUUGGGCUUAAAGCGUCCGUAGCCGGCUUAGCAAGUCUCCUGUUAAAUUCAGCGACCUAAUCGUUGAGCCGCGGGAGAUACUACUAGGCUAGGAGGCGGGAGAGGCCGACGGUAUUCUCGGGGUAGGGGUGAAAUCCUAUAAUCCCGGGAGGACCACCAGUGGCGAAGGCUGUCGGCUAGAACGCGCUCGACGGUGAGGGACGAAAGCUGGGGGAGCGAACCGGAUUAGAUACCCGGGUAGUCCCAGCCGUAAACGAUGCGGGCUAGGUGUUGGGGUGGCUACGAGCCACUUCAGUGCCGCAGGGAAGCCAUUAAGCCCGCCGCCUGGGGAGUACGGCCGCAAGGCUGAAACUUAAAGGAAUUGGCGGGGGAGCACCACAAGGCGUGAAGCUUGCGGUUC